Molecule: ribosomal RNA, 288 nt
Filed under: Triticum aestivum (bread wheat)
Lineage: Eukaryota; Viridiplantae; Streptophyta; Magnoliopsida; Poales; Poaceae
Description: partial small subunit ribosomal RNA
Source: RNAcentral
AUGGAUAUCACCGCUAAGCUUUUGCAACACCUUAUAGUAAAUUUUGAAUGUGAACAGGCUAGCACGCUAUCCAACCGUGAAUCUCGUACAAUACAACUUCCUCUUAAUACUAAAGUUGUCAAUGAUAUAUGUAUCUUGCGUGGUGGCUUCGCUCUUUUUGCAUCACAGGGCAAAAGGCUAUCACUUUUUAGGGUUGUCUUGAACGUAGAGAUGGUCGUUCCUUAUAUUUUACUUUUCAUUAAAAGAAACAUAUAUCCUUGUUUUUCAUUUGAAUCGUCCAUCAACUAG